GAAGGCAGAGCCAACCCAGGGGAGCUCAGGUGUAUGCAAUGCACCUGAGUGACUGGAAGGGGUGGGGGCCAGGACACACCACUUCCCAGUUUUCAUUUAAGAGUUGGCAGUGGGGGUGAAGGUAUCUCAUUGAGAGAUCUCUGUACACCUGUGGGUCUUGUGGGCUUUCUAAAGGGAGCCGAGAGAUCUUGCAGAGGAGGAAAGAAGUAACCAUCCAUGUUAACCUCAGCAGAGUCCAAGUUUUGCAUUUUUGGACUAUGACACUCUAACAACAGUCAUGAUUGGCUGCCUCAUCACCUGAACUUCAAGAUGUGAAUUUCUUUCUAUUACGUUUUGGGGGGUGUAUGUUAUUUUUAUAAUAAGAGAUGAUCAUGUUUCUGUCAGAAAUCUGUGGCUUUUUAUUGUGAAGUCUAGAACUUCUGUGCAGUGAGAUUAUUUUAGAGGUCCAAGCGGUACUGCGAACAGCUCAUUUAAUGUGGCUGGUAAAGGGCAAAUUUCUGGCCUGCUCAACACUGAGGGGAAUUUAAGGGCACCUAAAAUUAUCACUGUCUUCACCUCCAGCUGUUUGUGCUCAGGGCUUCAAGAAAACAGCCUUGCUUCAAAGUGGCUAGAGCCUGAUGAAGAUUUUGUUGUGACAUCUUCUUGAGAGUACCUGUUCGAUCUGUGAGAGCACAUGUUAUUCUCCAAGCACAGGAAGGCAGCUAUUGAGUGAGAAAGAACAUAUUAUGUUGUUGUUGCUGUAUUUUUGUUUGUAUGUUUUAGUAAGCCAAUUCAUCUUCACAAAAAUUAAAAGCCCAGAGAGGCAGCUGCUCAGCUGUGUUGAGGCAGGGCAGCUUCACUCUUUGAGGAUGUGUAAAAUUUAACAUAGCUUUCCAAGUUCUACCAGCCCUUCACUAUCACAGACUGUGGUGCUCAAGUAUGGGCCUACAGGAAUUAAACCGCAUCUCACUGUCCUACAUGUGAGAGCAAGUUGUGACUCUAAUAUCUUAAGAGCCAGCUGAAGAGAAGACAUUAGUGUAUACGAAAAAUUGACACCAAAAAUAGGGAACUGGGGGGGAGAGGGGAAGUCUUAUGAUGCAUACUUGAAAUGUUUAUGCUAGAAGGAUACAGCACUAGGUGAUGUAACAGUGAAGCGGAAAGAAAAUAAACAGAAGGGACCAACAACUUUUUGCAUGCCUCUAAAAGCCUUAAAUGACAUCUGCUAAAUGACAGUGCUACUCAAUUUGCAAAGCCUUAAUUCUAACUGGAACAAAGAGCGAAAAAGACAUGCAUGUAUGUAGAAUGAAUGGAUAAUUUUUUUGUGUGCUUUAUAGAGGUGAAGUGUGGGACUGUGGAAGGAGUGACAUUGGUAAAGGAACUAACUUUGAAGUGAUACAGAAAAAUGAACAAGAGAGGAAAAUAAAGGGAAUUGGAAGAAAUGGAGCAAGAAGAACAUUAUUUUGUGUAAAUUAAAUUUAAACAAAAAAGGAUGACAUUGGCUCAGAUCUUGUCAUACUAAGGUGUUUUAAGGCCAGCAGUAAUAAGAGAA
Long non-coding RNA from Numida meleagris (helmeted guineafowl), 1528 nucleotides. RefSeq lists it as uncharacterized. The transcript has 3 exons. Lineage: Eukaryota; Metazoa; Chordata; Aves; Galliformes; Numididae. The record is from RefSeq and is a predicted model, not a curated record.